GACUGAAUGCCUGAAUGACCGACUGGAUGAAUGAAGGAGAGUACUCCUCUCGAUGGAGCGACGCACAAUUCAAUUGAAACUGUUGCCGGAUCGGGACUGGGCUCCGAAGUGGGUUUUGGAAGUGGAUGUGGAACUGGAAGAACUGCCGGCUUACCUUACCUUUCAAAUUGAUGAACAGCAACAAAGGCUGCCCGGGGACAAAGGAAAACCGGGCAUAGAAAAGCGACUUUCAAAGUUUCCAACGCGACAAUGAUCUGAGGGCAAGAAACGCCGAACAGUUGGUGACAACAAAACGGGCCAACAAUAAAAAUGAGUCCAGCCAAGAGAAAACCAUAAAAAGAUUUUUCCCGUUUUAUGAGGCUGGCCCCGCAACCUUCUCCGCGUCCCUUGACUUUUUCCACAGUGUGAGUAUGCGCUUUUACGAAUUCAAAAAGCAAUUUACCAAAGGCAUCGUGAAAGGCAAUUCGCUGCUCCGUCUCCAAAACAACACGAAUCUCGGGUCUCGAGCUGUAAGUGCCUCUAAAGGACGACAAGCAGGUCGAAGUGUCAGAACUCAGACGGGGACUCAGGGACCAGACAAAAGCGAGGUCUUCGGCGCACACAUAUAACAGUUUUACGAGCUAACGAAAGUGGUUCUGCUGCGGGCGCAGGAGAGGCCCCGAGAUAAUGCCCCCCGAUCCGAUUCGAUGCCGACAUAUUUGGGGUUUUACGAUCCCGCCGCCUUCGCAGCCAUUGUGCAUUGGAAAAAUUGUAAAUCACACUUGCCUACGGACCCACGGACAGAUAUGCGGACAGGCGGACGGGCCCCGUAUUGCCCCACAUUGGAACAGACCCCGCGAUAAAACAUCGCACAUAAGAUGUAUAUUAGCGUGUCUGUUAAAUUGUUUUUAGUUGCCGACGCGUCUGCAAAUGAGCCAUUGUUAAAAGGGUGAGGAGGGGAAACUGGAGAGAAAGGGGCGAUCUGCGAACUCGGGGCGACUGGGGGUACUUAAGUAUUGAAGCUCUUUAAAUGUUGCUACUUGUACGGGUGUACAUAUGUCUGUGAACUCAUUCUCGUCUGAUGUUGCAUUACGAAAUGGUUUCAUGCUUGUGCA
Molecule: long non-coding RNA, 1094 nt
Organism: Drosophila subpulchrella
Lineage: Eukaryota; Metazoa; Arthropoda; Insecta; Diptera; Drosophilidae
Exons: 3
Source: RefSeq, a predicted model, not a curated record